UCCAUGUGUGAAAGCUACUUGGCAUGAAUGCCUGGGCCGUACCAAGUGUCAGCGCAGCGAGGGGGAGUCAGAAGAAAAACAGAUCAGACCAGAGCAGACAAUAGGCCCCUAAAGUGUUCCCCCUAAGUUGCUUUGAUGUUGUCCUAGUGUCUUGAUACCGGGAGGCCAGGGAUUGCAGGAAAAGGGUCUUUUUUGUUUCAUUCACUUUCCCCCUCAGUUUCUGAAAUGAUUCUCCAGAAUUUCUCCUCAUAAAAAAGGACUGAAUGUAGGACUAGCUGGUGUCACUUCACUUUGACUUAAAAUUCCCUGUUGGGAGACGGAGCUCAUUCUUGGCAAGUCCCCUGUGUCCUGAUGUAGAAGAGAGAGUAAAUCGGACAUCUUGGAAGGUGGGGGUCACCUCUGAGAAGGGGGUUCCUGGACUCCUCAGACACCUCACCCCCAGGAUGAGCACUGCAGUAUCGUGACCCUUGGGGUUUG
Molecule: long non-coding RNA, 477 nt
Organism: Talpa occidentalis (Iberian mole)
Lineage: Eukaryota; Metazoa; Chordata; Mammalia; Eulipotyphla; Talpidae
Exons: 3
Source: RefSeq, a predicted model, not a curated record